AGGCAGUCCACCGGAGGGAGGGGGGGGUGGGCCAACCUUAAUAGGUACGGCUUCAGCGAGCACAGCUUGAACAAAAGACCCAGAAGAAAAACCAUCGGCAACAAGACCCAGUAGUGCCCAGCGGCUAGUUUCAGCCUCCGCCGCACAAGGCACCUGUUGUUGCUGGUGGGCUCUAAUAAUGAGACCAGGCCUGGAAAUAGCUAUCCUUGUGAUGUUGCUAGGCACGUUCAAUCAAGUUGAGCCAUUGAAUAGAAGACUGCCUUCAAGAACGGCCAUUGUUUGUGCCAUUUUUUUCCUCCCCCAAGUUUCAGAUUUCUUUUAAGAGUUUCAAAUGGUGGAAUGAAGGAGAUUUUGUGGAGCUAUAUUUUUUGUUAUGUAGAUUGGUCUGGGUCUGGGAAAGCACCUUAU
RNAcentral lists this unclassified non-coding RNA (408 nucleotides) under Hevea brasiliensis (rubber tree). The record is from RNAcentral. Lineage: Eukaryota; Viridiplantae; Streptophyta; Magnoliopsida; Malpighiales; Euphorbiaceae.